RNAcentral lists this ribosomal RNA (531 nucleotides) under uncultured bacterium. RNAcentral describes it as "bacterial SSU rRNA". It matches the Rfam family "Bacterial small subunit ribosomal RNA", at positions 979 to 1509 of the family's 1533-position model. The record is from RNAcentral.
CCUUGACAUACUAAGAACUUUCCAGAGAUGGAUUGGUGCCUUCGGGAACUUAGAUACAGGUGCUGCAUGGCUGUCGUCAGCUCGUGUCGUGAGAUGUUGGGUUAAGUCCCGNAACGAGCGCAACCCUUUUCCUUAUUUGCCAGCGGGUCAUGCCGGGAACUUUAAGGAUACUGCCAGUGACAAACUGGAGGAAGGCGGGGACGACGUCAAGUCAUCAUGGCCCUUACGGCCAGGGCUACACACGCGCUACAAUGGUCGGUACAAAGGGUUGCUACCUCGCGAGAGGAUGCUAAUCUCAAAAAGCCGAUCGUAGUCCGGAUCGCAGUCUGCAACUCGACUGCGUGAAGUCGGAAUCGCUAGUAAUCGCGGAUCAGAAUGCCGCGGUGAAUACGUUCCCGGGCCUUGUACACACCGCCCGUCACACCAUGGGAGUUUGUUGCACCAGAAGUAGGUAGUCUAACCGCAAGGAGGACGCUUACCACGGUGUGGCCGAUGACUGGGGUGAAGUCGUAACAAGGUAGGCGUAGAUGA